GGCGGCGCGAGCUGCCUCAGCGUGACUGAGUGGCUGCGGCGUCUCUCAGUGUUGUAGGGAUCGCGAAAGCUUUUGCGCGCCGCCCCUAAGGCGAGUAACAGCCCAAGCAGCGAGUGUUUCACAACACUACUACUGUCCUGACGGGGUUCAGCACCUCCAGCAGCCACAUACAGAACCGAAAUCUGUCACGCCACAGCAGAGUGCUAUAAACAUGGCUAGCCAAAGGAAGACAGUAGAAAACAACUCAAGGAAGCUAUGAAGACUGUUGUGAAAGCAAAGAAGCCAGC
Molecule: long non-coding RNA, 287 nt
Filed under: Gallus gallus (chicken)
Lineage: Eukaryota; Metazoa; Chordata; Aves; Galliformes; Phasianidae
Source: RNAcentral